This 455-nucleotide ribosomal RNA is filed under the name Clostridioides difficile. RNAcentral's name for it is "bacterial LSU rRNA". It matches the Rfam family "Bacterial large subunit ribosomal RNA", at positions 2429 to 2886 of the family's 2925-position model. The record is from RNAcentral. Lineage: Bacteria; Bacillati; Bacillota; Clostridia; Peptostreptococcales; Peptostreptococcaceae.
CUGCGUGGAAGGGCCAUCGCUCAACGGAUAAAAGCUACCCUGGGGAUAACAGGCUUAUCUCCCCCAAGAGUCCACAUCGACGGGGAGGUUUGGCACCUCGAUGUCGGCUCAUCACAUCCUGGGGCUGUAGUAGGUCCCAAGGGUUGGGCUGUUCGCCCAUUAAAGUGGUACGCGAGCUGGGUUCAGAACGUCGUGAGACAGUUCGGUCCCUAUCCGUCGCAGGCGUAGGAAAGUUGAGAAGACCUGUCCUUAGUACGAGAGGACCGGGAUGGACGUACCUCUGGUGUACCAGUUGUUCUGCCAAGGGCAUGGCUGGGUAGCUAUGUACGGAAUGGAUAAGCGCUGAAAGCAUCUAAGCGCGAAGCCAACUUCAAGAUAAGAUUUCCCACCGCAAGGGUAAGACCCCAGAAAGACUAUCUGGUUGAUAGGUCGAAGGUGUAAGUGCAGCAAUGUAU